Molecule: ribosomal RNA, 119 nt
Filed under: Betta splendens (Siamese fighting fish)
Lineage: Eukaryota; Metazoa; Chordata; Actinopteri; Anabantiformes; Osphronemidae
Source: RNAcentral
GCUAACGGCCAUACCACCCUGAGCACGCCCGAUCUCGUCUGAUCUCGGAAGCUAAGCAGGGUCGGGCCUGGUUAGUACUUGGAUGGGAGACCGCCUGGGAAUACCAGGUGCUGUAAGCU